GCUUUUGACUCCUGUGCAACUACAUAAUAUUGUUUAUAAAAUUAAGUUUUUAAUAUCUUUGUUUAUUUUCAGUCUAGUGUCUAGUUAAUUGCUUAAAAAAUGUACUUUGCUCUGCUCUAUUUUCAUUGACGAUACAAUGAUAGAUGAUUUAUAGCACACUUGUUGCAGUUCCACUUUAAGAUAAAUAUCAAAGUUUGAUACCAUAUGUUCCGGUAGUUAUUAUCUUGAUUUGAAUUGUUUCAGUAAAAGAAUAAGGAACAAACAUCCAAUUAGGAUUAGCCAAGUUUAAUACACGAAACAAUGAAACGAAAUAAGUGCCUAAAUAAGUAAGAAGAAAUCAUUUUUUAUUAAGGAUACAAUUCGAAAUGAUGAUAGAUUAUAAUUAUACAUUGUACACUGUCAGUGUUUAUUUAGAUCGAUCCAUCGGAAUGUUUAUUUACACACAGAUAUAAACAUUAUACCAUGGGAAUUCGUAGCACAUAAUAUUUAGACUGAAGUCGGAAACAUUUUCCUGAAACGAUUAUUUUUCGUGUUAAACCUUGUGCUUCCAGAGAUAAUAACCAAGGUUUUAUUUACAAGAUUGUUAUCAUUACUUCAAACCAACGGACACUAGUUUAUGUUCCAAAAAUGUAAACAAAAUAAGAAAAUCAACUGAAAUUUAUUUUGUAAAUUAGGGCGCCAAUAUAAAUUGAGUUGAUAAGAAAGUGCUAACUACAAUAAACGCACUGGAAAGCUAUUUCGGAUAAAAUACAUCGGUUUAAGCGGACAUUAUUUAUGCAAAAUUACAGAUAUCGUUAUUUGUAUCUGUUCUGGUCGUUUCUGAACAUGGAUAUUUUUCGGAAGAGUUCGCAUGAUAGUUCCCACAUUACUGGAUUCAGAUUCAUUGGUAAUGGAGGCCUUGUGUACUAUGCAAUACAAAGAAAACUACAUUCAUGUGUCAACAUUUGCUGUUAUUAACAGGGAUAUACACAGAUCAUUGUGGAUUAUAAAUGAAAGUUGGAUCUUUAAAAGCGACCACGUUACCUAACUGGAAUAGCGUUUGAAGGAGAUGUAUAUUCGUAUUGCUUUGAAUAUUACAAAUAUAUGGACAUUUGUUUUCGUAAUGUGAAAUGAUAACGUAUCUCGAAAAUGUCAGGACAGAAACAUUCAAUAAUUACAUUCUAACCAUAUCAAGUUGUGUAAGAUGUGCAAACAGUGACAAAAAAUCAUGAUGGAAUAUAUUGAAAAUCUUGUAAUCUUUCACAAUUUGUAAUUAUUUCUAUGAUGACUAAUGGCAAUACAUGCAAGCAACAUGUAUUUUGUCUGUUUACAGAAAGUUAAAUUCAAAAGGAAUUGUAUUCUUUUUCACACAGUAUCAGUUACCUUUGACAUUCAGUUUUCUGAAACUUAUCAGAAUUUUACUCGUUAUCUUGGCUUUUCUGUAUAUACUUAUUCUUUAUUAGAUGACAUAUACAUGUAUAAUUACAUAACACAGUGCUUAACACAGUGCUUAAAUUCUGAUAGCAAUAGCAAAACUCAUCUUUUCAUCAGAUUUCAGAAUGUCUAGAAUUUUGAGUGCAAUGUUAUCACUCAUUUUAUUUAUCUGAUUUAAGAUAGAUACACACAAUAUCAACAUAGGUCGCUUAUCAGAAUUCUGAAAGCCAUAACAACGGUCAGAUUUUCUUCUGUCAGAUUUCAAUUGUUUUGUAACGGCUUAUCGGAAUUCGGAUAGCAACAUUGACAUACAUUAUUUAUUUCCUCUGUUUAUAAUUCAGAUAGUAAAGUCAAUGUUCUUGUUUUCUACUGCCUGCUCUCAAAUGGUGUUUAUCUGAAUUCGGAUAGCAAACGCAACGCGCAGUUUCUCUACUGUUCGGCUCCAGAUCGUUUUACGCUGUGGCUUAGGCGAAUUCGGAUAACAACGAUAAUACAUACACAAGAUCUAUUUCAUAUAUUCCUGAUGAUAUGCAAAACUUAUAGUUAUUUCAAUUCAGAUAGCAAAGUCAAUGCUAGGUUUUUUGAACUGCAUGAUUGCUUAUCUGAAUUUGGAUAGCAAAAACGAAACACAAUUUUUAUUCUGUCCAACUUUAGAUAGUCAGUAUUUUAUAGACUUGUCUGAAUUCGGAUAAUAAUACAAACUCACAUAUUUGGUCUAGUGUAUUUACUUGUUCGUUUAAUGAUCAGGUACAAGGUCUCUUCCGUAAAUUAUCGUAUUUGGUAAAGUGUAUAUUUGCUUAGGACAGCGUAGCAUAAUGAAUAUUGGAUUUAAUCUGAUAGUAUUUUGUAUUUGUAUAAUUGAUAUAAAAUGAAUUGAAGGUAAUCUAAGUCUGCCUUUUAUCUGAUUUCGGAUAGAGCAGUUUUCUUAUACAUAUUUAGAUAUGCGGUUUCCUGUUCCCUGCUCGAGGUGUCUUAUAUUUAAUAUAUAUUCAUGAUUAUUAAAGUUAUGAAACA
This is a long non-coding RNA of Mercenaria mercenaria, 2427 nucleotides long. RefSeq lists it as uncharacterized. The record is from RefSeq and is a predicted model, not a curated record. NCBI's taxonomy places the organism in Eukaryota, Metazoa, Mollusca, Bivalvia, Venerida, Veneridae. The transcript is spliced from 4 exons.